This 495-nucleotide ribosomal RNA is filed under the name uncultured bacterium. Its description in RNAcentral is "partial 16S ribosomal RNA". It matches the Rfam family "Bacterial small subunit ribosomal RNA", at positions 30 to 507 of the family's 1533-position model. The record is from RNAcentral.
UGAACGCUGGCGGCGUGCCUCAUACAUGCAAGUCGCGCGAACAGACGAGGAGCUUGCUCCUCUGACGUUAGCGGCGGACGGGUGAGUAACACGUGGAUAACCUACCUAUAAGACUGGGAUAACUUCGGGAAACCGGAGCUAAUACCGGAUAAUAUAUUGAACCGCAUGGUUCAAUAGUGAAAGACGGUUUUGCUGUCACUUAUAGAUGGAUCCGCGCCGCAUUAGCUAGUUGGUAAGGUAACGGCUUACCAAGGCAACGAUGCGUAGCCGACCUGAGAGGGUGAUCGGCCACACUGGAACUGAGACACGGUCCAGACUCCUACGGGAGGCAGCAGUAGGGAAUCUUCCGCAAUGGGCGAAAGCCUGACGGAGCAACGCCGCGUGAGUGAUGAAGGUCUUCGGAUCGUAAAACUCUGUUAUUAGGGAAGAACAAAUGUGUAAGUAACUAUGCACGUCUUGACGGUACCUAAUCAGAAAGCCACGGCUAACUACGUG